UACAGAGGGGGCAAGCGUUAUUCGGAAUUAUUGGGCGUAAAGGGCGCGUAGGCGGCUAUUCAAGUGGCGGGUGAAAUCCCUCGGCUUAACCGAGGAACUGCCUGCCAGACUGGAUGGCUUGAGACCGGGAGAGGUGAGUGGAAUUCCCAGUGUAGUGGUGAAAUGCGUAGAUAUUGGGAGGAACACCAGUGGCGAAGGCGGCUCACUGGACCGGUACUGACGCUGAGGCGCGAAAGCGUGGGGAGCAAACAGG
Molecule: ribosomal RNA, 253 nt
Filed under: uncultured bacterium
Lineage: Bacteria
Description: partial 16S ribosomal RNA
Rfam family: Bacterial small subunit ribosomal RNA
Source: RNAcentral